RNAcentral lists this long non-coding RNA (1169 nucleotides) under Vulpes vulpes (red fox). RNAcentral describes it as "lncRNA (ENSVVUG00000023945.1)". Lineage: Eukaryota; Metazoa; Chordata; Mammalia; Carnivora; Canidae. The record is from RNAcentral.
CAGUUCUCCAGGGGCUCCCUUCCUGGCUUCUGGAGCCCGGCACUCGCACGCUGGUGAGGACGAGCCCUCGGCACAGGAGCAAUAAAUACCACAAGGUACCCUGAGACCCGUCCUUCUCCAGUGCUGGCGACUAACAAGGCCCAGGCUGGAUUUCAUGAUCGGCCCUAAGGUAGGACAGUCCGUCGGUUUUCUGCCUCACACUGGAAGGAACAUAAGGCUGCUUGAACUUACAGGCCCUACAAUGAUUUCUUGUUGCGCGACAGCAACACACAAACUAACGAGUGAGAAAAUGAGCCAGAAGAACCCCCGGGGAGCAGCGGUGCAGGCAGGUGGGUGGGACAUGCGGGGAGGGGGCAGGCCGCGGACAGACAGACGCCCGGACGGAGUGGUGGGCAGAUGGCAGACAGAUGAUAGACACACAGUAGGUGGACCCAGACCCUUCUGCAAAUGUGCCCUCAGAGACACGAUGAGGCUACUCGGCCCUGGGAGCAGGAGGGCAGCAGGCGGCACCGGAACCCCUGCCAUGCUCCCCGUCCAGACAAGCCUCCUCAGAGGCAGACGGCAGCACCGGGCACCCACGUGGUGGACACGGGGAACGUGGGGUGGGCUGUACUCGGGGCAACAGCUGGAGCCACACAACCUCAGGGAACCCAAACAGAAGACUGUCCCGACUUCAGGAGGCUCUCCUCCACGGAUCCUGUGUCUGUCCCAAAACACGUCAAGGGCCAUGGACGUGGUGGCCCCACUCGGUGCCGAGAGGCCCCCAGUGCUCCAGCAGGAUGCUAGCCUGGAGCUAGUGCCCAGGGAGCCGAGCACCUCCCCGGAGCACAGCAUUCCGGGUGAGAAGCGACUUCAGGCCCCCCCGGCAAUCGGGGGAAGACCCCACGGUUCCCCCAGAGCAGCAACAUGUGGCAGUGCCAGGAAUUUGGGGGGAAAUCAUGAAAACAGGUGGGCUCAGGUGGCAGGAUCAGCCAUGAAACACUCGGUGGAGACGUGUCCAAACCACGUGCAGCCUGGAGUCCCAGAGCCCUACAUCUCCACAUUAAGCUGCCCCUAAACCAGAGACCACAGUCGAUAAAUAGAUCCACUCACUCUGCACAGAAGCACUCGCUCUGGGGUGAGCAGCGGGGCUGGAGCUCUGCCUGCUGUCACCUUCCCAAAGGCGUGAC